This 453-nucleotide ribosomal RNA is filed under the name uncultured bacterium. Its description in RNAcentral is "bacterial SSU rRNA". It matches the Rfam family "Bacterial small subunit ribosomal RNA", at positions 340 to 786 of the family's 1533-position model. The record is from RNAcentral.
UACGGAAGGCAGCAGUGGGGAAUAUUGCACAAUGGGCGCAAGCCUGAUGCAGCCAUGCCGCGUGUAUGAAGAAGGCCUUCGGGUUGUAAAGUACUUUCAGCCGUGAGGAAGGUGUUAAGGUUAAUAACCUUAGCAAUUGACGUUAGCGACAGAAGAAGCACCGGCUAACUCCGUGCCAGCAGCCGCGGUAAUACGGAGGGUGCGAGCGUUAAUCGGAAUUACUGGGCGUAAAGGGCACGCAGGCGGUUAAUUAAGUUGGAUGUGAAAUCCCCGGGCUUAACCUGGGAAUGGCAUUCAAGACUGGUUAGCUAGAGUCUUGUAGAGGGGGUAGAAUUCCAUGUGUAGCGGUGAAAUGCGUAGAGAUGUGGAGGAAUACCGGUGGCGAAGGCGGCCCCUGGACAAAGACUGACGCUCAUGUGCGAAAGCGUGGGGAGCAAACAGGGAUUAGAUACC